RNAcentral lists this ribosomal RNA (266 nucleotides) under uncultured bacterium. RNAcentral describes it as "partial 16S ribosomal RNA". The record is from RNAcentral.
CUGCUGCCUUCCGUAGGAGUUUGGUCCGUGUCUCAGUACCAAUGUGGGGGGGUUGACCUCUCAGUCCCCCUAUGUAUCGUCGCCUUGGUGAGCCGUUACCUCACCAACUAGCUAAUACAACGCAUGUCCAUCUCUGACCACCUGAGUUUUCAACCACCGAAGAUGCCUCCGGUGAUGUUAUGGGGUAUUAGUACCAAUUUCUCGAUGUUAUCCCCCUGUCAAAGGUAGGUUACAUACGCGUUACGCACCCGUCCGCCGGUCGCCGG